RNAcentral lists this ribosomal RNA (497 nucleotides) under uncultured bacterium. Its description in RNAcentral is "partial 16S ribosomal RNA". It matches the Rfam family "Bacterial small subunit ribosomal RNA", at positions 28 to 507 of the family's 1533-position model. The record is from RNAcentral.
GAUGAACGCUGGCGGCGUGCCUAAUACAUGCAAGUCGAGCGAACAGACGAGGAGCUUGCUCCUCUGACGUUAGCGGCGGACGGGUGAGUAACACGUGGAUAACCUACCUAUAAGACUGGGAUAACUUCGGGAAACCGGAGCUAAUACCGGAUAAUAUAUUGAACCGCAUGGUUCAAUAGUGAAAGACGGUUUUGCUGUCACUUAUAGAUGGAUCCGCGCCGCAUUAGCUAGUUGGUAAGGUAACGGCUUACCAAGGCAACGAUGCGUAGCCGACCUGAGAGGGUGAUCUGCCACACUUGAACUGAGACACGGUCCAGACUCCUACGGGAGGCAGCAGUAGGGAAUCUUCCGCAAUGGGCGAAAGCCUGACGGAGCAACGCCGCGUGAGUGAUGAAGGUCUUCGGAUCGUAAAACUCUGUUAUUAGGGAAGAACAAAUGUGUAAGUAACUAUGCACGUCUUGACGGUACCUAAUCAGAAAGCCACGGCUAACUACGUG